Long non-coding RNA from Oryza sativa Japonica Group (Japanese rice), 1620 nucleotides. RefSeq lists it as uncharacterized. NCBI's taxonomy places the organism in Eukaryota, Viridiplantae, Streptophyta, Magnoliopsida, Poales, Poaceae. The record is from RefSeq and is a predicted model, not a curated record.
CCCUCCUCUCUCUCUCUCUAUCUCUCCACCCUCAGCCGCCACACUUCUCCCAUCCAUUCCCCUCUCCUCUCCUCUCCUCUCCGGCGGCGGGUAUCGGCGAUGAAAGCGUGCGGCGGCGUCCUCCUCCUCCAUCGCCGCUCGUGGUGCCGGCUUACUCCUCCCUCACCGCUUACUGCGUCGCCUCCGUCUCCGCCGGCGCCAGGCUCGGGAGUGGUGGAUCUGCGGCCGACAGCGCUCCCGGGCCUAGGGCGGCUAGAUCGCGCGGCGGCAGUCCCCGGGCGGCUCGACGACGGAGCUCGCUGCCACGCCGUUUGUGCCGGCGGGCUCCUGCUUCGGGGUUUCUGGAGGCGCGUGGGGGUCCGUCCGCAGGUGUAGUCUGCAUACUGGCUCAAGUUCUGGCGGAACAUGAUGCGCGUCACUCUCAUCUACGAGGCGCACGCCGCGCGGAUGCUGGACCGCGGGACCCCAUCAACGCCAACCUCUACGUUAAGGAGCUCAUGCGCAAGAAGCUUCGGGAACUCAGGCACCGUUGCCAGGAGGGUUCGCUCGGGGACAACGUCUUCUGCGUGCGAGCCGACCUGCUCAGGAAUCUCGGCAACACGUGCAACUCCAAGAUCCACAACCGGUGGGGGAGGGGGGGCUGCAGGAGGAAUGGAUACAUGCAUCAGUCAAGGAAGGAGGAGUAUGAACAAGAGAGCAAGACAUGCAGAUAGGAAGACAUCAUUCGGCGAACCAACCAAACUGUGUGAGUAGUUAGAUGAUUUUUAAGCAUGCAUAUGUAUUCUAGACAAGUUGUUAGGUCUAAUGGUGCUGAGCAUCUGUUAGGUUAGGUGAUGGAGUGCUGAUGUAUUUGAUAACUGUAGGCAAGUAAGUUGCUUUAAUUUGAAAUAUCGAGGGAGUAUAUGCUAUGGUCUAUCGGAUAAUUUAUUGAUGUCUAAAUUAUCGUUUCUUAGGCCAACUGAUACUAUGAUAAGGAAAAAAAGAAGCAAAAACACAUUGUUCAUGAGUAAUUUUGUAAGUAGGAGUUUUGUUUUGGUGGUGCGCUUUCGAUAUAUCAUAUUAGGUUACUACCGGGGCUUUGAAUUUCAUGUUGUGAUUGUUCCUUCCUUACUCUUUACUUACUUCCCCUAUCAUAAAAAGAACCAAAUCCAUGUCCAGAUUCAAACUCAUGAUUGGGAUUUUUUUUUGGACAAAGAGAGUACGUGUCAAUGGGUGAUGGGAUGGUUAGCCCAUAACCUUGAGGUUGUGUGUAAAACCAUUUGUAAAAGAAGGUGAAAAGCCUCCUUAGGGAUGUUGCCGUCGGGCGCGUUGCCAUGCGGCAGAUGAACGGGCUGAAGCAGCAAUACAUAUGAACAUAAGGUGACACUGAACUUGCGACCAUUGUGCUUGUGGGAUGUUAUUUUGUUGUUGUUGUUGUGCUUCUGGUCGUUGUGCUGUUGCUGUUGUGCUUUUGGCCAUUGCGCUGCUGCUGCUGUGAUGCUAUUGCAGAUGUGCUGCUGUUGCUCUCGCUGUAGCAGGAAGAUGAAAUUUGAGACUUUGGAUAUGUAUUGAAUUGGUGGAUGGAUGUAAUGAUAUUGCAUUUUAAGACUUGUGGAAUGUGAAAUGCAUGUGAUAUUGCAA